AGGGGAUUAGCCAAGCGGUGACGGCAUCGGGUUUUGAACCCGACAUUCCAAGGUUCGAAUCCUUGAUCCCCUGCCA
RNAcentral lists this transfer RNA (76 nucleotides) under Undibacterium umbellatum. RNAcentral describes it as "Undibacterium sp. NL8W tRNA-Gln". It matches the Rfam family "tRNA". From Rfam's summary of the family: Transfer RNA (tRNA) molecules are approximately 80 nucleotides in length. RNAcentral also lists the same sequence under 2 other names. The record is from RNAcentral. Lineage: Bacteria; Pseudomonadati; Pseudomonadota; Betaproteobacteria; Burkholderiales; Oxalobacteraceae.